AUUCCAGCUCCAAUAGUGUAUCUUAACGUUGUUGCAGUUAAAAAGCUCGUAGUUGAAUUUCUGGGGGGGCUGCUUCGGUUAACGCCUGGCGGCCCCUUCAUCCGCCUUGGAACCAGGAAGGGUAUUUGUUUACUGGCCUGGGGAAGUGGCAUUUUACUUUGAAGAAAUUAGAGUGUUCAUAGCAGGCUAUCGCUUGAAUAUAUCAGCAUGGAAUAAUGGAAUAGGACAUCGUCCGUCUUUUGGUGAUUGGACAUGUAAUGAUUAGCAGGGACAGUUGGGGGCAUUCGUACUGGUUACCGAGAGGUGAAAUUCUUUGAUCUGACCAAGACGAACUAAAGCGAAGGCAUUUGCCAAGGAUGUUUUCAUCA
RNAcentral lists this ribosomal RNA (368 nucleotides) under Dysteria sp. RNAcentral describes it as "partial small subunit ribosomal RNA". It matches the Rfam family "Eukaryotic small subunit ribosomal RNA", at positions 582 to 975 of the family's 1831-position model. Lineage: Eukaryota; Ciliophora; Phyllopharyngea; Dysteriida; Dysteriidae. The record is from RNAcentral.